Molecule: small nuclear RNA, 107 nt
Organism: Myotis lucifugus (little brown bat)
Lineage: Eukaryota; Metazoa; Chordata; Mammalia; Chiroptera; Vespertilionidae
Source: Ensembl
GUGCUCACUUCAGCAGCACAAAUACUAAGAUUGGAACAAUACAGAGAAGAUUAGCAUGGCCCCUGUGCAAGGAUGACAUGUAAAUUCGUGAAGCAGCCCAUAUUUUU